GGGGGUGCACCGGAUUCGACUGGGGUAUUGUGUGACCUUGGUUGCAGGUGGAGCGCCGAUCUCCUUAAAGCGGCAAAAACUUUAAAUGCCGAAGAUAAUUCUUUAGCAUUAGCUGCAUAAGUCAGCUAUCGGGCCUUUAGGGCGCUGUUCCGAGCUCUAAAGUGACCUGUAACAAAUCGGGACUUACCGGCCGUCAUGCUUCCCGGACGGCUGGGAAAUCUUAGGGGAGCUAGGUUAGCCAUGGGCCUGUUUUGGUGCCAAUUGGAUAACCGAAAUUAAAAACCAAAACUAAACCUGUAGACGCCCUGGAGGCACGCCACAGGACGCGGGUUCGACUCCCGCCACCUCCAUAG
This 353-nucleotide transfer-messenger RNA is filed under the name Spirochaetia. RNAcentral describes it as "JAFGWI01 sp016937215 Standard tmRNA". It matches the Rfam family "transfer-messenger RNA". Rfam says of the family: Bacterial tmRNA, also known as 10Sa RNA or SsrA, is named for its dual tRNA and mRNA-like properties. Its role is to liberate the mRNA from a stalled ribosome. RNAcentral also lists the same sequence under 1 other name. The record is from RNAcentral. Lineage: Bacteria; Pseudomonadati; Spirochaetota.